Molecule: small nucleolar RNA, 107 nt
Rfam family: Small nucleolar RNA snR48
About the family: snR48 is a member of the C/D class of snoRNA which contain the C (UGAUGA) and D (CUGA) box motifs.
Source: Rfam
UUUGAGUGAUGACUACCUUAAUUUGUAUGUUUUUUCUGGCAUCUCUAAUGUUAGGGCCUUGUUUCAGUACCGGGUUCAAUGAAUACAACCCUUUUAAUAAUCUGACC